Molecule: ribosomal RNA, 484 nt
Filed under: uncultured bacterium
Lineage: Bacteria
Description: partial 16S ribosomal RNA
Rfam family: Bacterial small subunit ribosomal RNA
Source: RNAcentral
AUUGAACGCUGGCGGCGGGCCUAACACAUGCAAGUCGAGCGGAUGAAGGGAGCUUGCUCCUGGAUUCAGCGGCGGACGGGUGAGUAAUGCCUAGGAAUCUGCCUGGUAGUGGGAGAUAACGUCCGGAAACGGGCGCUAAUACCGCAUACGUCCUGAGGGAGAAAGUGGGGGAUCUUCGGACCUCACGCUAUCAGAUGAGCCUAGGUCGGAUUAGCUAGUUGGUGGGGUAAAGGCCUACCAAGGCGACGAUCCGUAACUGGUCUGAGAGGAUGAUCAGUCACACUGGAACUGAGACACGGUCCAGACUCCUACGGGAGGCAGCAGUGGGGAAUAUUGGACAAUGGGCGAAAGCCUGAUCCAGCCAUGCCGCGUGUGUGAAGAAGGUCUUCGGAUUGUAAAGCACUUUAAGUUGGGAGGAAGGGCAGUAAGUUAAUACCUUGCUGUUUUGACGUUACCAACAGAAUAAGCACCGGCUAACUUCGUG